UGGGGAAUAUUGCACAAUGGGCGAAAGCCUGAUGCAGCAACGCCGCGUGAGUGAUGAAGGCCUUCGGGUUGUAAAGCUCUGUCUUCUGGGACGAUAAUGACGGUACCAGAGGAGGAAGCCACGGCUAACUACGUGCCAGCAGCCGCGGUAAUACGUAGGUGGCAAGCGUUGUCCGGAUUUACUGGGCGUAAAGGAUGCGUAGGCGGAUACUUAAGUCAGAUGUGAAAAUCCCGGGCUUAACUUGGGAACUGCAUUUGAAACUGGGUAUCUAGAGUGCGGGAGAGGAAAGUGGAAUUCCUAGUGUAGCGGUGAAAUGCGUAGAGAUUAGGAAGAACACCAGGGGCGAAGGCGACUUUCUGGACCGUAACUGACGCUGAGGCAUGAAAGCGUGGGGAGCAAACA
Molecule: ribosomal RNA, 402 nt
Filed under: uncultured bacterium
Lineage: Bacteria
Description: bacterial SSU rRNA
Rfam family: Bacterial small subunit ribosomal RNA
Source: RNAcentral